This 497-nucleotide ribosomal RNA is filed under the name uncultured bacterium. Its description in RNAcentral is "partial 16S ribosomal RNA". It matches the Rfam family "Bacterial small subunit ribosomal RNA", at positions 28 to 507 of the family's 1533-position model. The record is from RNAcentral.
GAUGAACGCUGGCGGCGUGCCUAAUACAUGCAAGUCGAGCGAACGGACGCGAAGCUUGCUUCUCUGAUGUUAGCGGCGGACGGGUGAGUAACACGUGGAUAACCUACCUAUAAGACUGGGAUAACUUCGGGAAACCGGAGCUAAUACCGGAUAAUUUUUUGAACCGCAUGGUUCAAAAGUGAAAGACGGUCUUGCUGUCACUUAUAGAUGGAUCCGCGCUGCAUUAGCUAGUUGGUAAGGUAACGGCUUACCAAGGCAACGAUGCAUAGCCGACCUGAGAGGGUGAUCGGCCACACUGGAACUGAGACACGGUCCAGACUCCUACGGGAGGCAGCAGUAGGGAAUCUUCCGCAAUGGGCGAAAGCCUGACGGAGCAACGCCGCGUGAGUGAUGAAGGUCUUCGGAUCGUAAAACUCUGUUAUUAGGGAAGAACAUAUGUGUAAGUAACUGUGCACAUCUUGACGGUACCUAAUCAGAAAGCCACGGCUAACUACGUG